Molecule: ribosomal RNA, 484 nt
Filed under: uncultured bacterium
Lineage: Bacteria
Description: partial 16S ribosomal RNA
Rfam family: Bacterial small subunit ribosomal RNA
Source: RNAcentral
AUUGAACGCUGGCGGCAGGCCUAACACAUGCAAGUCGAGCGGAUGAAGGGAGCUUGCUCCUGGAUUCAGCGGCGGACGGGUGAGUAAUGCCUAGGAAUCUGCCUGGUAGUGGGGGAUAACGUCCGGAAACGGGCGCUAAUACCGCAUACGUCCUGAGGGCGAACGUGGGGGAUCUUCGGACCUCACGCUAUCAGAUGAGCCUAGGUCGGAUUAGCUAGUUGGUGGGGUAAAGGCCUACCAAGGCGACGAUCCGUAACUGGUCUGAGAGGAUGAUCAGUCACACUGGAACUGAGACACGGUCCAGACUCCUACGGGAGGCAGCAGUGGGGAAUAUUGGACAAUGGGCGAAAGCCUGAUCCAGCCAUGCCGCGUGUGUGAAGAAGGUCUUCGGAUUGUAAAGCACUUUAAGUUGGGAGGAAGGGCAGUAAGUUAAUACCUUGCUGUUUUGACGGUACCAACAGAAUAAGCACCGGCUAACUUCGUG